Molecule: long non-coding RNA, 1161 nt
Organism: Carassius auratus (goldfish)
Lineage: Eukaryota; Metazoa; Chordata; Actinopteri; Cypriniformes; Cyprinidae
Exons: 2
Source: RefSeq, a predicted model, not a curated record
AUUUACUGUAAAUAAUCCCAUGCACAAACACAGCCAGAUGACAUGCACUGAAUACUUAGUAGGACUGUAGUUUAUCAUCUUUAUGUAAACGUAACUAAGUGCACUAGUAAGAUGAAUUAACUUAAACAAGAGCAACAUCUGUAAGAAGUAAGAAGCGUCCCCUGACAGCCAGCUGUGGUUCAGAAUUAUAUGCGAUCUCUCGCUGGUCGCCGUCACCUCCCACAUCAAAUCUGGUCCUGAUUUCCACCCAGUUACGUGGUGCUUGGGGUGGGGUGGGGGGGUGAUUGUCCAGCAUAAAGGCCUCUUUAUUCACGCCGGACAGGGAAAGGAAAUCGGCUUCAGAAGAAAAAACACGCCAGCACACCACAGGCCCGCACAUCUGGAGUUAUUACAAGCCCGCCGUCUUGCCAAGAAACUCCGACAUUCCUGCAGCGCUACAAAGCCAUGCAGCCCCCCCCCCCACACACACACACACUCGAACACGCUACAUGCACCCCGACCCCCUCCCCGAAAUGACACAACACAUGCAGAAAAUGAAUGCGCUUCACUUCCUGUUGACCUUUGACCCCCCACUUCCUGCCGACUCCCCAAAAAGCAGAAAAGCCAGACAGAGGCGGGAAGGAGAACGAAGCCCCGCCUCUUUCUCCUCUCUUGCUCCUUGGCUCUCUCACUAGUAAAGUUAGUUAACAGUCCAAUGCCACGUCAAGCCUGCGAGUCACUGCAGAGACGAGGCGCUCGCCCACAGAUGCUGAUUCCAGAAGAUGUUACUGGACACACUUUUAUGAUUUAUUCGGGAACACGGAAUGAUGGGGAAGAAGCGACGGUGAGGAUGAAGAUGCACACUGAGAAACACUGGGAAAACUGAGAUCAGCACUGGACAAACAGCUGGACUCAUGCUGAAGAGGAGGAUGAGACUCCAUCACAGUCUCUUCAGACGCCCGUCCCGCCUGCCCAGUGUUCAGACUACCUGUUCAGGAAGUAGUGUUUGUACAGUAGUCUGCACAUUGGUUAGGCUGCACGGGGAUGCUCGAGACGGUCCGUCGCCAUGACGACUCCAGAACACAUCGCCAUGACGACAGCAGAUCAUGACACUGAUGUAAUCAGCGUGGAGUGAUGUCAGAGAAAUAAUGAAAUGCAAAAUAAAGUAUGAAAUGAUACCAA